RNAcentral lists this ribosomal RNA (790 nucleotides) under uncultured bacterium. Its description in RNAcentral is "bacterial SSU rRNA". It matches the Rfam family "Bacterial small subunit ribosomal RNA", at positions 8 to 796 of the family's 1533-position model. The record is from RNAcentral.
AGAGUUUGAUCAUGGCUCAGAUUGAACGCUGGCGGCAUGCCUUACACAUGCAAGUCGAACGCGAAAGGGGGCAACCCUGAGUAGAGUGGCGAACGGGUGAGCAAUACAUCGGAACACGUCCUGUAGCGGGGGACAACCCCGAGAAAUCGGGGCUAAUACCGCAUACGAUCCUAGGAUGAAAGUGGGGGACCGCAAGGCCUCACACUAUAGGAGUGGCCGAUGCCGGAUUAGCUAGUUGGUAGGGUAAAAGCCUACCAAGGCGACGAUCCGUAGCUGGUUUGAGAGAACGACCAGCCACACUGGGACUGAGACACGGCCCAGACUCCUACGGGAGGCAGCAGUGGGGAAUUUUGGACAAUGGGCGCAAGCCUGAUCCAGCCAUGCCGCGCGAGUGAAGAAGGCCUUCGGGUUGUAAAGCUCUUUCGGCCGGAACGAAAUCGCACCCGCGAAUAUCGGGUGUGGAUGACGGUACCGGAAGAAGAAGGACCGGCUAACUACGUGCCAGCAGCCGCGGUAAUACGUAGGGUCCAAGCGUUAAUCGGAAUUACUGGGCGUAAAGCGUGUGCAGGCGGUCUCGCAAGUCCGAUGUGAAAUCCCCGGGCUCAACCUGGGAACUGCGUUGGAAACUACGAGGCUCGAGUGCGGCAGAGGGGGGUGGAAUUCCAGGUGUAGCAGUGAAAUGCGUAGAUAUCUGGAGGAACACCGAUGGCGAAGGCAGCCCCCUGGGUCAGCACUGACGCUCAUACACGAAAGCGUGGGGAGCAAACAGGAUUAGAUACCCUAGUAGUCC